Molecule: small nuclear RNA, 66 nt
Filed under: Heterocephalus glaber (naked mole-rat)
Lineage: Eukaryota; Metazoa; Chordata; Mammalia; Rodentia; Bathyergidae
Description: U4 spliceosomal RNA
Rfam family: U4 spliceosomal RNA
About the family: U4 small nuclear RNA (U4 snRNA) is a component of the major U2-dependent spliceosome.
Source: Rfam by way of RNAcentral
AGCUUUGCGCAGUGGCAGUAUCGUAGCCAAUGAGGUUUAUCCGAGGUGUGAUUAUUGCUAAUUGAU